RNAcentral lists this ribosomal RNA (451 nucleotides) under uncultured bacterium. RNAcentral's name for it is "partial 16S ribosomal RNA". It matches the Rfam family "Bacterial small subunit ribosomal RNA", at positions 354 to 796 of the family's 1533-position model. The record is from RNAcentral.
GUGGGGAAUAUUGGACAAUGGGGGGAACCCUGAUCCAGCCAUGCCGCGUGUGUGAAGAAGGCCUUUUGGUUGUAAAGCACUUUAAGCGAGGAGGAGGCUACCGAGAUUAAUACUCUUGGAUAGUGGACGUUACUCGCAGAAUAAGCACCGGCUAACUCUGUGCCAGCAGCCGCGGUAAUACAGAGGGUGCAAGCGUUAAUCGGAUUUACUGGGCGUAAAGCGCGCGUAGGUGGCCAAUUAAGUCAAAUGUGAAAGCCCCGAGCUUAACUUGGGAAUUGCAUUCGAUACUGGUUGGCUAGAGUAUGGGAGAGGAUGGUAGAAUUCCAGGUGUAGCGGUGAAAUGCGUAGAGAUCUGGAGGAAUACCGAUGGCGAAGGCAGCCAUCUGGCCUAAUACUGACACUGAGGUGCGAAAGCAUGGGGAGCAAACAGGAUUAGAAACCCGGGUAGUCC